This 107-nucleotide small nuclear RNA is filed under the name Dasypus novemcinctus (nine-banded armadillo). The record is from RNAcentral. Lineage: Eukaryota; Metazoa; Chordata; Mammalia; Cingulata; Dasypodidae.
GUGCUCACUUUGGCAGCACAUAUAAUAAAAUUGGAACAACAUAGAGAAGAUUAACAUGCCCUCUUGCGAAGGAUGACAUGCAAAUUCAUGAAAAAGUUAACAGAUGC